RNAcentral lists this ribosomal RNA (24 nucleotides) under Spyridium nitidum. RNAcentral describes it as "partial 26S ribosomal RNA". Lineage: Eukaryota; Viridiplantae; Streptophyta; Magnoliopsida; Rosales; Rhamnaceae. The record is from RNAcentral.
UGCGACCUCAGGUCAGGCGGGGGC